This 225-nucleotide ribosomal RNA is filed under the name Triticum aestivum (bread wheat). RNAcentral describes it as "partial small subunit ribosomal RNA". The record is from RNAcentral. Lineage: Eukaryota; Viridiplantae; Streptophyta; Magnoliopsida; Poales; Poaceae.
AUGGCACUCUGCCGUGCCCGCUGCCAUACCAUCCAGGGCAUCAUGCGUGGGUGGCUCAGGAUCAGGCCAUCCUCUCCGCCAUCCAGUCCUCUCUUACGGAGGGGGUCUCGUCACUGGUCAUCUUCGCCUCUACAUCUCGGGACGCGUGGACGGCUCUUCACACCAGUUUUGCUUCGCAGUCUCAGGCGCGGGCUCAUGCCAUUCGCACUGCGCUUGGGGAGGUGA